RNAcentral lists this ribosomal RNA (484 nucleotides) under uncultured bacterium. RNAcentral's name for it is "partial 16S ribosomal RNA". It matches the Rfam family "Bacterial small subunit ribosomal RNA", at positions 30 to 507 of the family's 1533-position model. The record is from RNAcentral.
AUUGAACGCUGGCGGCAGGCCUAACACAUGCAAGUCGAGCGGAUGAAGGGAGCUUUCUCCUGGAUUCAGCGGCGGACGGGUGAGUAAUGCCUAUGAAUCUGCCUGGUAGUGGGGGAUAACGUCCGGAAACGGGCGCUAAUACCGCAUACGUCCUGAGGGAGAAAGUUGGGGAUCUUCGGACCUCACGCUAUCAGAUGAGCCUAGGUCGGAUUAGCUAGUUGGUGGGGUAAAGGCCUACCAAGGCGACGAUCCGUAACUGGUCUGAGAGGAUGAUCAGUCACACUGGAACUGAGACACGGUCCAGACUCCUACGGGAGGCAGCAGUGGGGAAUAUUGGACAAUGGGCGAAAGCCUGAUCCAGCCAUGCCGCGUGUGUGAAGAAGGUCUUCGGAUUGUAAAGCACUUUAAGUUGGGAGGAAGGGCAGUAAGUUAAUACCUUGCUGUUUUGACGUUACCAACAGAAUAAGCACCGGCUAACUUCGUG